AUGAUAUUCGUUCCAGUUAACAUUGAAGAGUUUCAUUGGUACCUAGCAGUUAUAAAUACCGAGAAGCGAUGUAUCCAGGUGCUUGACUUGGUAGGCCCAGGAAUGAACCGCAACGACCUCACUGCUAUGCUAAAAGGACUGGAAAAUGUAUUCCAAUAUGCUAAUCUUCAAAUGGAACUAAAAUCUGAUAAGUGGAAAGACUUAAACAUCAGUGCAUGA
This 219-nucleotide ribosomal RNA is filed under the name Triticum aestivum (bread wheat). RNAcentral's name for it is "partial small subunit ribosomal RNA". The record is from RNAcentral. Lineage: Eukaryota; Viridiplantae; Streptophyta; Magnoliopsida; Poales; Poaceae.